CAAACCCUCGACGGAAACCCUCCCCUAACCUUCAACGAAAGAAAAAUUCCUAACCUCCAACGAUCCGAUGGCGGAUGACCGUGGUAGUGGUUCCGCUCUACGUUCUUCGAUCUCAGUCCACGGACUUAUGGGUGAGGGGAGGUUCGCCGACGUGUUACUCUGGAGAAGACCAUAUAAUGAGGGGAGGUUCGCCGACGGACUCA
Molecule: long non-coding RNA, 203 nt
Filed under: Zostera marina
Lineage: Eukaryota; Viridiplantae; Streptophyta; Magnoliopsida; Alismatales; Zosteraceae
Description: long non-coding RNA (ZMAR_LNC000498)
Source: RNAcentral